Molecule: ribosomal RNA, 621 nt
Filed under: uncultured Methanomicrobiales archaeon
Lineage: Archaea; Methanobacteriati; Methanobacteriota; Methanomicrobia; Methanomicrobiales
Description: bacterial SSU rRNA
Rfam family: Archaeal small subunit ribosomal RNA
Source: RNAcentral
AAUAAACUUAUCACAAUCGCGGUAAAACCGGGAUAAGGAAACUCUGAGUGCCCGUAAGGAAGCUCUCGUGUCAGUUUAAAGAACUGGCGAAGAAAGGGACGGGCCAGACCGGUGCCAGCCGCCGCGGUAAUACCGGCGGCUCGAGUGGGGGCCACUUUAAAUGGGGUUAAAGCGUCCGUAGCUUGAUUGUUAAGUCUCUUGGGAAAUCUACCGGCUCAACCGAUAGGCGUUCAAGGGAUACUGGCAUUCUAGGGACCGGGAGAGGGGAGAGGUACUCCAGGGGUGGGAGUGAAAUCCUGUAAUCCUUGGGGGACCACCUUGGGGGAAGGCGUUUCACUAAAACGGCUCCGACAGUGAGGGACGAAAGCUUGUGGAGCAAACCGGUUUAAAUACCCGGGUAGUCCCAGCCGUAAACAAUGCGCGUUAGGUGUAUCGGGAACCACGAGUCACCGAGGUGCCGAAGGGAACCCGGGAAACGUGCCGCCUGGGAAGUACGGUCGCAAGGUGAAAACUAAAAGGAAUUGGCGGGGGAAAGGGCAAAUUCUUUUAAACUUGCAGAACUAGUCCCUUUAUGGAGGGUUAUUUCUGAGCUUGGCGUAUUCAUGGCAUAGUUGUUUCCUA